This 76-nucleotide transfer RNA is filed under the name Clostridia bacterium. Its description in RNAcentral is "tRNA-Val". It matches the Rfam family "tRNA". From Rfam's summary of the family: Transfer RNA (tRNA) molecules are approximately 80 nucleotides in length. Lineage: Bacteria; Bacillati; Bacillota; Clostridia. The record is from RNAcentral.
GGGAGUUUAGCUCAGCUGGGAGAGCAUCUGCCUUACAAGCAGGGGGUCAUAGGUUCGAGCCCUAUAAUUCCCACCA